This 770-nucleotide ribosomal RNA is filed under the name uncultured bacterium. RNAcentral's name for it is "bacterial SSU rRNA". It matches the Rfam family "Bacterial small subunit ribosomal RNA", at positions 8 to 776 of the family's 1533-position model. The record is from RNAcentral.
AGAGUUUGAUCAUGGCUCAGAACGAACGUUGGCGGCGUGGAUUAGGCAUGCAAGUCGAACGAAUCUCACUGCCGUAGCAAUACGGUGGUGGGGGAAGUGGCGAAAGGGGCAGUAACGCGUGGGUAACCUACCCUGGGGAUGGGCAUAGCCGUUCUAACGAGCGGGUAAUUCCCAGCGAUUCGGCGAGGGGGCAUCUCCUUGCCGGGAAACGAAUCUCGCCUCGGGAGGGGCUCACGUGCUAUUAGCUGGUUGGCGGGGUAACGGCCCACCAAGGCAAAGAUGGCUAGCGGGUGUGAGAGCACGACCCGCGCCACUGGCACUGAGACACUGGCCAGACACCUACGGGUGGCUGCAGUCGAGGAUCUUCGUCAAUGGGCGCAAGCCUGAACGAGCGACGCCGCGUGGGCGAUGAAGGCCUUCGGGUUGUAAAGCCCUGUCGAGGGGGAGAAAGGUCCGCAAGGACUUGAUCGAUCCCUGGAGGAAGCACGGGCUAAGUUCGUGCCAGCAGCCGCGGUAAGACGAACCGUGCGAACGUUGUUCGGAAUCACUGGGCUUAAAGGGCGCGUAGGCGGCUCGCGGGGUCGGGGGUGAAAGCCCGCAGCUUAACUGCGGAAGGGCCUUCGAUACCGGCGGGCUGGAGGAAGGUAGGGGUGCGCGGAACUUCUGGUGGAGCGGUGAAAUGCGUUGAUAUCAGAAGGAACGCCGGCGGCGAAAGCGGCGCACUGGACCUUUACUGACGCUGAGGCGCGAAAGCCAGGGGAGCAAACGGG